AUCAGCUUGUUGGUGAGGUAAUGGCUUACCAAGGCUACGACGGGUAGCGGGACUGAGAGGUUGGCCCGCCACAUCGGGACUGAGACACUGCCCGGACCUCCACGGAGGGCUGCAGUAACGGAUAUUGGGCAAUGGGCGAAAGCCUGACCUAGCAAUGCCGCGUGCAGGAUGAAGCCCCUCGGGGUGUAAACUGCUGUCAGGGGCAAGAAAGUCUUCGGAUUGAUCAGCCCCAAAGGAAGUCACGGCUAACUUCGUGCCAGCAGCCGCGGUAAUACGAAGGUGGCGAGCGUUAUUCGGAAUCAUUGGGCUUAAAGGGCACGCAGGCGGGAUAGCAAGUGUCAAGUGAAAUCCCCCGGCUUAACCGGGGAAUUGCUUGACAAACUGCUGUCCUUGAGACAGGCAGGGGUGCAUGGAACUCUUGGUGGAGCGGUGGAAUGCGUAGAUAUCAAGAGGAACGCCGGAGGUGAAGACGGUGCACUGGGCCUGUUCUGACGCUGAGGUGCGAAAGCGUGGGGAGCAAACGGGAUUAGAUACCCCGGUAGUCCACGCCGUAAACGAUGCCUACUAGGUUGUGGGAGUUCUGACGCUCUCACAGCCGCAGCAAAAGUGUUAAGUAGGCCGCCUGGGGAGUACGGCCGCAAGGUUAAAACUCAAAGGAAUUGACGGGGGCUCACACAAGCGGUGGAGCAUGUGGAUUAAUUCGAAGCAACGCGCAGAACCUUACCUGGGUUUGACAUGCUUGGAUGCCUGCCUGGAAACAGGUUAGGCUGCCCUUCGGGGUGAAACUUGCACAGGUGCUGCAUGGCUGUCGUCAGCUCGUGCCGUGAGAUGUCGGGUUAAGUCCUUUAACGAGCGAAACCCUUGCCGUUAGUUGCCAGCGGGUCAUGCCGGGGACUCUAACGGGACUGCCGGUGUUAAACCGGAGGAAGGUGGGGAUGACGUCAAGUCCUCAUGGCCUUUAUGCCCAGGGCUUCACACGUGCUACAAUGGCAGGUACAGAGGGAUGCGAGACCGCAAGGUGGAGCGAAGCCCAAAAAACCUGCCUCAGUUCGGAUUGCAGGCUGUCAAUUCGCCUGCAUGAAGUUGGAAUCGCUAGUAAUCGCGUAUCAGCUAUGACGCGGUGAAUGUGUUCCUGAGCCUUGUACACACCGCCCGUCAAGUGAUGGAAG
This 1169-nucleotide ribosomal RNA is filed under the name uncultured organism. Its description in RNAcentral is "bacterial SSU rRNA". It matches the Rfam family "Bacterial small subunit ribosomal RNA", at positions 240 to 1410 of the family's 1533-position model. The record is from RNAcentral.